RNAcentral lists this ribosomal RNA (503 nucleotides) under uncultured bacterium. RNAcentral's name for it is "bacterial SSU rRNA". It matches the Rfam family "Bacterial small subunit ribosomal RNA", at positions 25 to 518 of the family's 1533-position model. The record is from RNAcentral.
CAGGAUGAACGCUAGCGACAGGCUUAACACAUGCGAAGUCGAGGGGACGAGCAUAAAAGUAAGCAAUACUUGGUGGCGACCGGCGCACGGUGAGUAACGCGUAUGCAACCUACCUAUCAGAGGGGAAUAACCCGGCGAAAGUCGGACUAAUACCGCAUAAAACAGGGGCACCGCAUGGUGAUAUUGUUAAAGAAAUUCGCUGAUAGAUGGGCAUGCGUUCCAUUAGGUAGUUGGUGAGGUAACGGCUCACCAAGCCGACGAUGGAUAGGGGAACUGAGAGGUUGGUCCCCCACACUGGUACUGAGACACGGACCAGACUCCUACGGGAGGCAGCAGUGAGGAAUAUUGGUCAAUGGGCGGGAGCCUGAACCAGCCAAGUCGCCGUGAAGGAAGAAGGAUCUAUGGUUCGUAAACUUCUUUUGCAGGGGAAUAAAGUGCAGGACGUGUCCUGUUUUGUAUGUACCCUGAGAAUAAGGAUCGGCUAACUCCGUGCCAGCCGCCGC